UUUUAUUUGAGAGUUUGAUCCUGGCUCAGGAUGAACGCUGGCGGCGUGCCUAACACAUGCAAGUCGAACGAAGCACCUUACUUGAUUCUUCGGAUGAAGGUCUGGUGACUGAGUGGCGGACGGGUGAGUAACGCGUGGGUAACCUGCC
Molecule: ribosomal RNA, 148 nt
Filed under: Anaerobutyricum hallii
Lineage: Bacteria; Bacillati; Bacillota; Clostridia; Lachnospirales; Lachnospiraceae
Description: [Eubacterium] hallii partial 16S ribosomal RNA
Rfam family: Bacterial small subunit ribosomal RNA
Source: RNAcentral